AACUUUUGGCAACGGAUCACUUGGCUCUAGCAUCAAUGAAGAACGCAGCGAAAUGCGAUAAGUAAUGCGAAUUGCAGAAUUCAGUGAAUCAUCGAGUUUUUGAACGCACAUUGCGCCCGCCAGCAUCCUGGCGGGCAUGCCUGUUCGAGCGUCAUUUCCACCCUCAGGCUCUGCCUGGUGUUGGGGGCCUGCACCCGCAGCCCCUCAAAGACAGCGGCGGUCCCGGCCCCGGCCCCGAGCGUAGUAAUACACGUCGCUCCGGGCGCCGGGCGGGCCCCAGCCGUAAGCCUUUAUUUUUAACAGGUUGACCUCGGAUCAGGUAGGAAUACCCGCUGAACUUAAGCAUAUCAAUAAGCGGAGGCU
RNAcentral lists this unclassified non-coding RNA (363 nucleotides) under uncultured Chaetosphaeria. RNAcentral describes it as "sequence contains ITS2". The stretch from base 1 to 154 matches the Rfam family "5.8S ribosomal RNA". The record is from RNAcentral. Lineage: Eukaryota; Fungi; Ascomycota; Sordariomycetes; Chaetosphaeriales; Chaetosphaeriaceae.